RNAcentral lists this ribosomal RNA (375 nucleotides) under uncultured bacterium. RNAcentral's name for it is "partial 16S ribosomal RNA". It matches the Rfam family "Bacterial small subunit ribosomal RNA", at positions 338 to 709 of the family's 1533-position model. The record is from RNAcentral.
CCUACGAGAGGCAGCAGUGAGGAAUAUUGGUCAAUGGGCUUACGCCUGAACCAGCCAAGUCGCGUGAGGGAAGACUGCCCUAUGGGUUGUAAACCUCUUUUGUCAAGGAGAAAAGCCGGCUACGUGUAGCCGGACUGAGAGUACCUGAAGAAAAAGCAUCGGCUAACUCCGUGCCAGCAGCCGCGGUAAUACGGAGGAUGCGAGCGUUACCCGGAUUUAUUGGGGGAAAAGGGAGCGUAAACGGCGUUGUAAGUCUGAAGUGAAAGGCGGGGGCCAAACCCCCGGACUGCAUUGGAUACUGGCUGUCUGGAGUGCAGGAGAGGUAGGUGGAAUUCGUGGUGUAGCGGUGAAAUGCGUAGAUAGUACGAAGAACAC